GCGGUGGAGCAUGUGGUUAACUCGACGCAACGCGAAGAACCUUACCAGGGCUUGACAUCCCCUGACCGCGUAUGAAAGUACGUUUUCACCCUCGGGUGACAGGGAGACAGGUGGUGCAUGGUUGUCGUCAGCUCGUGUCGUGAGAUGUUGGGUUAAGUCCCGCAACGAGCGCAACCCCUACGUUUAGUUGCUAACGCGUGAAGGCGAGCACUCUAGACGAACUGCCGUUGACAAAACGGAGGAAGGUGGGGAUGACGUCAAAUCAUCAUGCCCCUUAUGUUCUGGGCUACACACGUGCUACAAUGGCCGGUACAGACGGACGCAAAGCCGCGAGGUGGAGCAAAUCCUAAAAAGCCGGUCUCAGUUCGGAUUGCAGGCUGCAAUUCGCCUGCAUGAAGUCGGAAUCGCUAGUAAUCGCAGGUCAGCACACUGCGGUCGAAUACGUUCCCGGGCCUU
Molecule: ribosomal RNA, 456 nt
Filed under: uncultured Pelotomaculum sp.
Lineage: Bacteria; Bacillati; Bacillota; Clostridia; Eubacteriales; Desulfotomaculaceae
Description: bacterial SSU rRNA
Rfam family: Bacterial small subunit ribosomal RNA
Source: RNAcentral